CUGCAUUCUGUAGCUAAAGCUUAUGUCCGAUUCAUUUUUAUUUCAAAGUAUCUGCUUUGGUUUUCAACGUUUCAACUGAAAACCCUCUAAGAACAGAUUGAAA
Long non-coding RNA from Alosa sapidissima (American shad), 103 nucleotides. RefSeq lists it as uncharacterized. The transcript is spliced from 3 exons. NCBI's taxonomy places the organism in Eukaryota, Metazoa, Chordata, Actinopteri, Clupeiformes, Clupeidae. The record is from RefSeq and is a predicted model, not a curated record.